This 633-nucleotide long non-coding RNA is filed under the name Physcomitrium patens. RNAcentral describes it as "long non-coding RNA (PPAT_LNC009253)". The record is from RNAcentral. Lineage: Eukaryota; Viridiplantae; Streptophyta; Bryopsida; Funariales; Funariaceae.
UAAUCUAAAUCUAUGUUUAUUAUUCUCUCAAAAGCUAAUUUUGUUACUAAGGCUGAUGGCUAUUGCAAAUGAUAAAAAAAAGAAAUUUUUGAUAAAUCAAACUUCACCAUUGUGUCCAAAAUACCUUUUUAUGCUAAGACUUACUAUUCACCUGCUUCUAUCUAUAUUUAUUUGUAUUUAUUAUGAAAGUUUUAACCUCUAGAGAUUUUAGCAAUUAUUGUAAAAUCCUUCAAAAAUGAAAAUUUCACUGCUCCACUUGUAUGUUGGAGGAGAAGGUGCUAAUCUUGUUUUCUUCACCCCAUGAGGUGAAUCCAAUGCCACCAUUGCAUUUGAAAGCCUCCAUCAAUUAAAAAAAACUACUUUGCCACUUGGAUUUGUUCAAGUUGAAGAAAGAAAUUCAAAACAGUUAUUACUAAACUUCACUAAAUCUUUUAGAAAUUUUUAUUUCUAAUUCAUUCUAAAUCAUAUGAGAUGAUUGUAGGUCAAUUCAUAGGCUCACAAUCAACCUUUAUAGGAAUGAUUGACAAUCUCUAAAUUAUUAAAUUUAACCAAAUUAUUAUUCUAAUUUUCUAAUCCUUAUCAUUUUGGUCUUAAUUAACCUAACUCAAGGAAUCAAGCUAGGAUUUAUACCAU